RNAcentral lists this non-coding RNA (235 nucleotides) under Romboutsia ilealis. RNAcentral describes it as "T-box". It matches the Rfam family "T-box leader". Rfam says of the family: Uncharged tRNA acts as the effector for transcription antitermination of genes in the T-box leader family. T-boxes are found upstream of many aminoacyl-tRNA synthetase genes and some amino acid biosynthetic genes usually in Gram-positive bacteria. The record is from RNAcentral. Lineage: Bacteria; Bacillati; Bacillota; Clostridia; Peptostreptococcales; Peptostreptococcaceae.
AUAAAGGCUAUGAAAAGAAGAGUAGAUAUAUUAUGUAGUAACAGCGAGUUAGGGAAGGUGUGAGCCUAAUACGAAGAUUAUAUUGAAGAACAUCUUGGAGCCUCUAACCGAAAUCAUAAGAGAGUAGGCCUAGACGGUAAGUCCCGUUAUAGACUAUAAGCAAUGCUUACUAAGAGGUCAAUUUUUAUUGGCAAUUAGGGUGGUACCGCGAGAGUAACAGUCUUUCGUCCCUUUG